GUGUCAGCAGCCGCGGUAAUACGGAGGGGGCUAGCGUUGUUCGGAAUUACUGGGCGUAAAGGGCGCGUAGGCGGCGCGAUAAGUUGGGCGUGAAAGGCCCGGGCUCAACCCGGGGACUGCGCUUGAUACUGUCGCGCUGUGAGUCCGGGAGAGGAUGGCGGAAUUCCCAGUGUAGAGGUGAAAUUCGUAGAUAUUGGGAAGAACACCGGUGGCGAAGGCGGCCAUCUGGACCGGCACUGACGCUGAGGCGCGAAAGCGUGGGGAGCAAACAGGAUUAGAUACCCGCGUAGUCC
RNAcentral lists this ribosomal RNA (293 nucleotides) under uncultured bacterium. Its description in RNAcentral is "partial 16S ribosomal RNA". It matches the Rfam family "Bacterial small subunit ribosomal RNA", at positions 505 to 796 of the family's 1533-position model. The record is from RNAcentral.